Molecule: ribosomal RNA, 301 nt
Filed under: uncultured bacterium
Lineage: Bacteria
Description: partial 16S ribosomal RNA
Rfam family: Bacterial small subunit ribosomal RNA
Source: RNAcentral
CAGCAGCGGUAAUACGUAGGGUGCGAGCGUUAAUCGGAAUUACUGGGCGUAAAGCGUGCGCAGGCGGUUCGUUAAGACAGAUGUGAAAUCCCCGGGCUUAACCUGGGAACUGCAUUUGUGACUGGCGAGCUAGAGUAUGGCAGAGGGGGGUAGAAUUCCACGUGUAGCAGUGAAAUGCGUAGAGAUGUGGAGGAAUACCGAUGGCGAAGGCAGCCCCCUGGGCCAAUACUGACGCUCAUGCACGAAAGCGUGGGGAGCAAACAGGAUUAGAUACCCCCGUAGUCCCUGUCUCUUAUACACA